Lagenorhynchus albirostris (white-beaked dolphin) is the source of this 524-nucleotide long non-coding RNA. RefSeq lists it as uncharacterized. The transcript is spliced from 2 exons. The record is from RefSeq and is a predicted model, not a curated record. NCBI's taxonomy places the organism in Eukaryota, Metazoa, Chordata, Mammalia, Artiodactyla, Delphinidae.
GGCUGUGUUGCCACCCUGUUGGUUGUUUGGCCUGAGGCAGCCCAGCACUGGAGCCUACAGGCUGUUUGGUGGGGCUAAUGGUGGCCUCUGGGAGGGCUCAUGCCAAUGAAUACUUCCCAGAACCGCUGUCAGUGUCUUUGAGCCACAGCUGCCACCCCCCCCACCUCUGCAGGAGACACUCCAAUAAUACCAGGCUUUUGUGUUGGUGUAGUCAAACAUGGCAUGAAGACAACGCUAAACCCGAUACUAUGGAGGACAAUUUUUAAUCAGCUUACAGAGAUUUGGUGUUUAUCAUUCUUCCCUUCCCUCCCCCCACCUAAUGGCAUAUAAGGACUUCAAUGGUUAAAAUAUAGCCUUAAGUUGGCCCCUCAGCCACCAGAGAAUUGGAUUGUAUCUCUUAUAAGCAAGGAAGCUGUCCAUGUGGGAAGCAUCACUCCCAUGGGAUAUUUGUAUGACUGUUCAAAUUUAAACAAUAUAUCUGGGGAAAAGAAAGAAUGUGGGAAAAAUAUAAUAAGAUUUUCUUA